GAUGAACGCUGGCGGCGUGCCUAAUACAUGCAAGUCGAGCGAACAGAUGAGGAGCUUGCUCCUCUGACGUUAGCGGCGGACGGGUGAGUAACACGUGGAUAACCUACCUAUAAGACUGGGAUAACUUCGGGAAACCGGAGCUAAUACCGGAUAAUAUAUUGAACCGCAUGGUUCAAUAGUGAAAGACGGUUUUGCUGUCACUUAUAGAUGGAUCCGCGCCGCAUUAGCUAGUUGGUAAGGUAACGGCUUACCAAGGCGACGAUGCGUAGCCGACCUGAGAGGGUGAUCGGCCACACUGGAACUGAGACCCGGUCCAGACUCCUACGGGAGGCAGCAGUAGGGAAUCUUCCGCAAUGGGGGAAAGCCUGACGGGGCAAACCCGCGGGAGUGAAGAAGGUCUUCGGAUCGUAAAACUCUGUUAUUUGGGAAAAACAAAUGGGUAAGGAAAUAUGCCCGUCUUGACGGUACCUAAUCAGAAAGCCCCGGCUAAAUUCGUG
Molecule: ribosomal RNA, 497 nt
Filed under: uncultured bacterium
Lineage: Bacteria
Description: partial 16S ribosomal RNA
Rfam family: Bacterial small subunit ribosomal RNA
Source: RNAcentral